Strongylocentrotus purpuratus (purple sea urchin) is the source of this 806-nucleotide long non-coding RNA. RefSeq lists it as uncharacterized. The transcript is spliced from 2 exons. Lineage: Eukaryota; Metazoa; Echinodermata; Echinoidea; Camarodonta; Strongylocentrotidae. The record is from RefSeq and is a predicted model, not a curated record.
CCCAUUUUUUCUCUUUCUUCCGUCGCUCUCUCUCCCUCCCUUUUUGUUAAUGGGCUGCCAAAAGGUGGGGUUCGCGGCCGAUUCGGCCCCUACCUGGAUCCGCCACUAUUGUACAUAAUUAUUGUUCAUACACGUACAUGUAUAUAGGUCAGUUGGCGUAUAGUUGAGCCAAACUAAAAACUAUAAGGGGUCAAAGACGGAGACUGCAAAAUUUGGUGGAAGAUCGCCCUCAUUUGUGAAAAUGUUUUAGUUGUAGGAUGGUACCCUACCCUGCUCAGGUACAAAUUUGGGAGGGGGGGGGGAGGGGUACAGUUGUGUUCCUCAGGCAAUUCCAUUAUGCGAAUUCGAGCUUAGCUCACGAAUCUAUAAACUGAAAAUUUGUCAUAACACACUGAUCCAUUUACUUUGAGAAGACAGACAACAGACAUUGCCACCUGCCUGAGAUAUCGUCAGCAUAUCUUUUUCAUUGUGAUUAGUCCUUGAUUUUGAUCAAUAAAAACUUUAAUUAAAAUAAAACAUCCCGAAUGGCUAACUAGCGAUCGGUGCAUGCAUUAGUGGCUUACACUUAAUCUGAAACGAAACUAGUUGGCAUGAACACAAUAACUACUGUUAAAUAUCUAGGCAAUCAUAUUUCAUAACAUCUCUAUGUUUUAUACGUUUUGUAUUGUAUGUCCUGCUUCGGCAUUUAUGAGCCAUGAUCUGGACUUUCUUAUUAUAAUAUGUCUGUGAUUGUGCAAUUCUUUUAUGUUUAUACUAUGUUCCUUUAUUGAAGAUUUACAAUAAAUUGAUACAAAAUCCACACAAAA